RNAcentral lists this ribosomal RNA (292 nucleotides) under uncultured bacterium. Its description in RNAcentral is "partial 16S ribosomal RNA". It matches the Rfam family "Bacterial small subunit ribosomal RNA", at positions 505 to 796 of the family's 1533-position model. The record is from RNAcentral.
GUGCCAGCAGCCGCGGUAAGACGAACCGUGCGAACGUUGUUCGGAAUCACUGGGCUUAAAGGGCGCGUAGGCGGGUCCCCCAGUCCGGGGUGAAAUCUUUCGGCUCAACCGGAAAAGGGCCUUGGAUACUGGGGACCUGGAGGGAGGUAGGGGCAUGCGGAACUUCCGGUGGAGCGGUGAAAUGCGUUGAUAUCGGAAGGAACGCCGGUGGCGAAAGCGGCGUGCUGGACCUCUGCUGACGCUGAGGCGCGAAAGCCAGGGGAGCGAACGGGAUUAGAAACCCCGGUAGUCC